RNAcentral lists this long non-coding RNA (2103 nucleotides) under Scleropages formosus (Asian bonytongue). RNAcentral describes it as "lncRNA (ENSSFOG00015029391.1)". Lineage: Eukaryota; Metazoa; Chordata; Actinopteri; Osteoglossiformes; Osteoglossidae. The record is from RNAcentral.
AUGACGAGGGCAGCGGUUGCCAUGACGAGGAAACCACAGGUACUUCUCUGUCAGCGGUGCAUCCUCCGGUCACUUUCGGGAAAACUGGGUGUUGCCCGUCUCAUCUCUGUGUCACGCAAAUUCUAAUGACUCUGGUUUCUGGAGAGUAAAACACCAGCACCUUUAUGUGAUGCUUUUCUCUAAAGCGACUUACAAUCAUUUGCCUAUUGAUACAGCUGAACAAGUUGGAGUAAAUAUCUUUCUCAAGGGUUUUACAGCUGGAGGUGGCAUUCAAACCUGUGACCUUUAGCUCCAAAGGCAGAAGCUCUAACCACUAUGCUACCAGCUGCCUGAAAAAAAUCUGCUGCAGUCAGCAAAUUUUCUAUUUUUUCACACUACAUCCCAAACAUUAUGAACACAGCUUUGAAAUCGAUAUGUCCCCCCUCCCCAGCUGUGUUAAGUACGUGUGUUACAUCUGCGCUCCCCUGCCCAUGGUGAUGUGGUAGCAGAGCCACUUCACGCACGCCGUACCUACGUCCCUGAAACUCUCCACCCUGGAGGCUCAUAGGAAAUUGUGCAGGGCUCAGGCUUCGAUAUCACCUGCAGUCCAGUGUGUCUCAAAUCACUGUAGCUAUUAUAAUAGUUAUUAUAGUUAUGAUUCUCUCUGUACACCGAGUGCUCUGUCUGUGGACUACAUGUGGACUAUAUUUACAUGGCUACACUGUGGCAGCCAAACACUGUAUAAAUGUCUCUCAGCAGUUGUCCUCGCUGCCUUUCCCUCUCCUCCAGGUAUAGUAACUGGUGUAGUAACUGGUGUAGUAUCCGGAGUGGCUGUGCUUGCUGCUGUGCUUGUCGCUCUCGUUGUUGUGGCGAUGCGAUGCCGAAGAACAGCCUCUGAGCAGCGUGAAUCCGGGAAAACAACCACUCCUCCCAGCUAUGAAUACGAAACAGUCGGUGAAAAGAGUGCAGAUGCUGUGAUUUACUUGGAGGUGGGCCACACCGUACUGUCGAAAAUGGAGCAAACGGGAGACACUUCCAGGAUCAGGACAGAGUACGUCGUCAUCAGAGCAGUACCCAGAGCACAGCCACAUACAGUAUCCGAUUUCACACAGUGAUCAGUGUCCCCUGGCUCUCAGAUACCCCACGAGACCUCGGUAACAUGAAAAUAGUUGUCAGUUGUGGUACAUUGUGUAUUUUCAUUAUUGUUGGAUGAAAAAUGUACUUCUAUAUUUUGAACUGUUAUGUUUUUGAUGUUUUGUGCAGGGUGAUUGUUGCAAAUACAUAUAUGUAUAUAAAACCUAUUUUCUCUGUUAUUAUUGUGAGAUGGUUGAUGAUCUGGAGGGCGAUGGGAACAGCAGUGCUUCUUUUGUCCUCUGAACUUGUGGAAGAUCAUUUUAUUGAUCCUGUUGCCCUUUGUUAUGGGAAUGGUUUUAAUAUUAUGUUUUAAUUGUGCAAUGUUUUUUUAUGUGGAGUUGUGUACUUGGUGUUUUCUAAAAACUUCCUCAAACUUAAUUAGACGAAAAAUGACAAUAGUUGCUGAUGGGCUGGAAGAGCGACACAUAACAAACAAGGGCUGGCGGAGCUCUUUGCUCCAGUGUGAAACUAGUGUCUGGUAACUUCACGUGCGCUGGACACUGCUCUCUAAAACAUGUCUUCAAGUGAUGGCGAUAGACUCAGAAGACACACAGUUAUUCAGAACAAUUAAAAGACACAUCAUGAUUACAUCAUCAACAAUUCAUGGCCUAAUGUAAAGAAUGAAUGUUGCUGCAAUACACAGAAUUUACUCCUGGCAGUAAAUCACAUCUCAUUGCCCCUGACUAAUAUGGCUUUUAAAAAGGCACGACCAGAGUUGCACCUGAAAUUCUUGUUUCUCCACUUCAAGCGACACGUUACACUUCACAGAAGUUUAAUGACAAAACAACUCGAUCAAGCUCGACAUCGCCGCUAGAGCCCUCGGUGUGCGCGUGCACGUGUGACGUAGGACGCUCUGCGUCGCUUCCGUCUGAACGCAGUGACGUUGAACGCACGCUUUGUUCCUGAAGCGAUAGCUGGCUGGGUAAGAGACACGGGGAGGAUUGUUUCGUUGCGAAUAAAUAACGUUACGUGCUAUCGCUGUUCGACGUG